This 1675-nucleotide ribosomal RNA is filed under the name Escherichia coli HVH 209 (4-3062651). RNAcentral describes it as "bacterial LSU rRNA". It matches the Rfam family "Bacterial large subunit ribosomal RNA", at positions 1270 to 2925 of the family's 2925-position model. The record is from RNAcentral. Lineage: Bacteria; Pseudomonadati; Pseudomonadota; Gammaproteobacteria; Enterobacterales; Enterobacteriaceae.
AUGCUGGAGGUAUCAGAAGUGCGAAUGCUGACAUAAGUAACGAUAAAGCGGGUGAAAAGCCCGCUCGCCGGAAGACCAAGGGUUCCUGUCCAACGUUAAUCGGGGCAGGGUGAGUCGACCCCUAAGGCGAGGCCGAAAGGCGUAGUCGAUGGGAAACAGGUUAAUAUUCCUGUACUUGGUGUUACUGCGAAGGGGGGACGGAGAAGGCUAUGUUGGCCGGGCGACGGUUGUCCCGGUUUAAGCGUGUAGGCUGGUUUUCCAGGCAAAUCCGGAAAAUCAAGGCUGAGGCGUGAUGACGAGGCACUACGGUGCUGAAGCAACAAAUGCCCUGCUUCCAGGAAAAGCCUCUAAGCAUCAGGUAACAUCAAAUCGUACCCCAAACCGACACAGGUGGUCAGGUAGAGAAUACCAAGGCGCUUGAGAGAACUCGGGUGAAGGAACUAGGCAAAAUGGUGCCGUAACUUCGGGAGAAGGCACGCUGAUAUGUAGGUGAAGUCCCUUGCGGAUGGAGCUGAAAUCAGUCGAAGAUACCAGCUGGCUGCAACUGUUUAUUAAAAACACAGCACUGUGCAAACACGAAAGUGGACGUAUACGGUGUGACGCCUGCCCGGUGCCGGAAGGUUAAUUGAUGGGGUUAGCGCAAGCGAAGCUCUUGAUCGAAGCCCCGGUAAACGGCGGCCGUAACUAUAACGGUCCUAAGGUAGCGAAAUUCCUUGUCGGGUAAGUUCCGACCUGCACGAAUGGCGUAAUGAUGGCCAGGCUGUCUCCACCCGAGACUCAGUGAAAUUGAACUCGCUGUGAAGAUGCAGUGUACCCGCGGCAAGACGGAAAGACCCCGUGAACCUUUACUAUAGCUUGACACUGAACAUUGAGCCUUGAUGUGUAGGAUAGGUGGGAGGCUUAGAAGUGUGGACGCCAGUCUGCAUGGAGCCGACCUUGAAAUACCACCCUUUAAUGUUUGAUGUUCUAACGUUGACCCGUAAUCCGGGUUGCGGACAGUGUCUGGUGGGUAGUUUGACUGGGGCGGUCUCCUCCUAAAGAGUAACGGAGGAGCACGAAGGUUGGCUAAUCCUGGUCGGACAUCAGGAGGUUAGUGCAAUGGCAUAAGCCAGCUUGACUGCGAGCGUGACGGCGCGAGCAGGUGCGAAAGCAGGUCAUAGUGAUCCGGUGGUUCUGAAUGGAAGGGCCAUCGCUCAACGGAUAAAAGGUACUCCGGGGAUAACAGGCUGAUACCGCCCAAGAGUUCAUAUCGACGGCGGUGUUUGGCACCUCGAUGUCGGCUCAUCACAUCCUGGGGCUGAAGUAGGUCCCAAGGGUAUGGCUGUUCGCCAUUUAAAGUGGUACGCGAGCUGGGUUUAGAACGUCGUGAGACAGUUCGGUCCCUAUCUGCCGUGGGCGCUGGAGAACUGAGGGGGGCUGCUCCUAGUACGAGAGGACCGGAGUGGACGCAUCACUGGUGUUCGGGUUGUCAUGCCAAUGGCACUGCCCGGUAGCUAAAUGCGGAAGAGAUAAGUGCUGAAAGCAUCUAAGCACGAAACUUGCCCCGAGAUGAGUUCUCCCUGACUCCUUGAGAGUCCUGAAGGAACGUUGAAGACGACGACGUUGAUAGGCCGGGUGUGUAAGCGCAGCGAUGCGUUGAGCUAACCGGUACUAAUGAACCGUGAGGCUUAACCUU